Molecule: ribosomal RNA, 403 nt
Filed under: uncultured bacterium
Lineage: Bacteria
Description: bacterial SSU rRNA
Rfam family: Bacterial small subunit ribosomal RNA
Source: RNAcentral
UGGGGAAUCUUGGGCAAUGGCCGAAAGGCUGACCCAGCGACUCCGCGUGGAGGAAGACGCCUUAAGGGGUGUAAACUUCUUUUCUGGGAGAAGACGACUGACGGUAUCCCAGGAAUAAGGGACGGCUAACUACGUGCCAGCAGCCGCGGUAAUACGUAGGUCCCAAGCGUUAUCCGGAAUCACUGGGCGUAAAGUGUCCGUAGCCGGUUAUGUAAGUCUGCUUUCAAAGGCCUUAGCUCAACUAAGGUAUGGGAGUGGAUACUGCAUAACUAGAGGUAGUUAGAGGCCAAUGGAAUUCUCGGUGGAGGGGUGAAAUCCGUUGAUAUCGGGAAGAAUGCCGAAAGCGAAAGCAGUUGGCUAUAACUAACCUGACGGUCAGGGACGAAAGCUUGGGUAGCAAACA